Molecule: long non-coding RNA, 831 nt
Organism: Coturnix japonica (Japanese quail)
Lineage: Eukaryota; Metazoa; Chordata; Aves; Galliformes; Phasianidae
Source: Ensembl
UGCGUGUCUUCCAGCUUCUCUGUUGUUUCAGACCCAGAGAAGGACUUGUGUUUCUGUGGUGCUGCCACUAGCAGUAAUCAUAUUGCUGUGAUGGUCUCUCAUAAAUGAGAACAUAUUUCUCAGGAGGAGUGUCGUGCUCUAGCUUGUAUAGAUAGGAAAAACUGAACAAGUUUGGAGCACAUGAGCGUCUUUUGGCUCAGAAGAGCACCUCACAGCUCACUUGUUUGUUCCAGUUUUAUCAGUAUCUCUAAUGAAAUGCAUUGCUUCAUCCUGAAAACCUUGCUGUUCUUACAUCCACGGUUCCUACUAGCUUCAGAUGGAUUUGUUCCAGUUAAAACUGGCCUAUGCAUCUUCAGGCUCUACUAUGAAAAGUGUUGAGCGUCUGACCUGGCCUGGACAUCAGCAGUGACAGUGUUGGCAACCGUGACUGGGAUGGCUGCUCAGAUUUUGAGGAGUUUUUUUUUUUUCCACGAAGGUAUGGAAAGAGGGAGGAGAGCCUACAUAAUGAAGUGGAGCACAGUGAAAAGAUUGCAGAGCUCCUUUGAAUCCCCAGGAAACUGGGUGCCACUGGAGGGCAUAACUCUAAGAGAACAGCCACGGCUUCAGGCUGAAUCCUGCAGGGUCAUCUACUUUCAACUCACUAACCUGGAUGCAGGUGCAGUCACCGACUGUCACAGGAAGAGGUCCUCAGGUCCUUUCAUUUGUGACUGUGUCUGUGUUCGCUCUUCAGAUGUGCAGAUAUCUUUGGAUCUUUUGGAUCUUUACUUGAGAGCUACAAAAGUACAAGGAAAAGUUUCAGCUUAUUCCUUCAGAUAUGCAUGUUUGUUCUGA